CGUAUUCGAGGUGGCGGACGGGUGACGUAACGCGUGGGUAACCUGCCUUACACAGGGGGAUAACACCUGGAAACAGGUGCUAAUACCGCAUAAGCGCACAGGGCCGCAUGGCCCGGUGUGAAAAACUCCGGUGGUGUAAGAUGGACCCGCGUCUGAUUAGCUUGUUGGCGGGGUAGGGGCCCACCAAGGCGACGAUCAGUAGCCGGCCUGAGAGGGUGGACGGCCACAUUGGGACUGAGACACGGCCCAAACUCCUACGGAAGGCAGCAG
Molecule: ribosomal RNA, 270 nt
Filed under: uncultured bacterium
Lineage: Bacteria
Description: partial 16S ribosomal RNA
Rfam family: Bacterial small subunit ribosomal RNA
Source: RNAcentral